RNAcentral lists this ribosomal RNA (272 nucleotides) under uncultured bacterium. Its description in RNAcentral is "partial small subunit ribosomal RNA". It matches the Rfam family "Bacterial small subunit ribosomal RNA", at positions 26 to 285 of the family's 1533-position model. The record is from RNAcentral.
AGAAUCAACGCUGGCGGCGUGCCUAACACAUGCAAGUCGAACGCGGUUACUCCGCAAGGAGUGACUGAGUGGCGAACGGGUGAGUAACACGUGGGUGAUCUACCUUUGAGUGGGGGAUAACGUUCCGAAAAGGAACGCUAAUACCGCAUGACGUUCUGGGUUUGAAGACCUGGAAACCAAAGUCGGGGACCGCAAGGCCUGACGCUUGGAGAGGAGCCCGCGCCUGAUUAGCUAGUUGGUGAGGUAAUGGCUCACCAAGGCGACGAUCAGUA